GGGGCAGUAGCUCAGUUUGGGAGAGCGCAUCCCUCGCACGGAUGAGGUCGUCGGUUCGAGCCCGAUCUGCUCCACCA
This 77-nucleotide transfer RNA is filed under the name Candidatus Latescibacteria bacterium ADurb.Bin168. RNAcentral describes it as "tRNA-Ala". It matches the Rfam family "tRNA". Rfam says of the family: Transfer RNA (tRNA) molecules are approximately 80 nucleotides in length. Their secondary structure includes four short double-helical elements and three loops (D, anti-codon, and T loops). Lineage: Bacteria; Pseudomonadati; Candidatus Latescibacterota. The record is from RNAcentral. RNAcentral also lists the same sequence under 1 other name.